AUUCGCUGAGGUCUAGCAGC
Molecule: unclassified non-coding RNA, 20 nt
Filed under: Chlamydomonas reinhardtii
Lineage: Eukaryota; Viridiplantae; Chlorophyta; Chlorophyceae; Chlamydomonadales; Chlamydomonadaceae
Description: small RNA Cre_0807
Source: RNAcentral